CUAGUUUCGAGUUAUCUAUAACUUCGUUGAUCAAACAAUCAUUAUUACACUCUCAAAAAUCAACAACUCUAUCAAUUAGUAACAUUUUACUAAUGAAGGAUCCAAAAUUAAAGCGAUGUUUCUUAAUAGUCAUAAAAAAUUACAAACACUAAUGAAGAGAGGAAGGGAAUGAUCAUUAUUCUUAGCUCAAGAAUCUUCCACAAGGAAAAUUGACAAGGGAGAGGCAAUUUACUUGCAGCAACAUUACAUAUUUAGACAAAGCGGCCGGACCGGGCUCGACGAUAUCGGAAUUAAUUGAUUCUAUGAUCUACUUAAUAGUAGAGAGAGGAGACUCUUUCAAACCUUAUCGAUCGGGCCGAACACGCAUAGGUGAAUAGUGGCGAGCAGAUACAGAACUAGACCUCCUUAGAACAAACAUGCCUGAAAAUCGAACCAUUGAAUUCAGAAUCCAAACUAAGUCCCCCAACACAUAAGCCAAUUCCUCGUAUAUGCUCAUGCUUUUCCUUAACAUUACACGCAUCACUACUGUCAUUGCAUCUCGAAAUCUAAUCAUUUUAAUGCUUUCUCUGAGAUGUGUGGAGAAAGUCACACGAGUUAUCAGUGUUCAAUGAAUUCCGAGUCUAUCUAUUAUAUGGGGCAACAAAACAAAGGCCAGAUGACCUAGAACUUCUUUCUUUCUUCCUUCUUCUUUCUUUCUUUUAAAUCUUUGAAUGAAUGAAAAUAAUAUGUGAACACUUGUGCACUAGUAUCAAUUAUUUGACAUUAAUUAUUAGUAUAAUAAAACUCUAAAGAAAGAAAGAAGUACUAAAGGGCAUGGUAGACUUACUUAAAUACCCUUUUUCUUUAACUUAUCAAAGCUUCUCACUACUUGUGAAAAAUUAAUGUAGAAGUUGAAGAAAAUGAUGAAUUCUAGUGCUUUAUUUAAAGAAAAGCAACCAUUUCCUUGCAGCUUGUUUUCUUGGAAUCUCAGCUCCAAAACUGCAAAGAAAACAUUGUUAGAACUGAUCAAAAGGGGUUUUCUAUAAAUCAGAUUAAAAAAGCUGAAGAUUGAAUUUUUACUUUAGUUUUUACCAAGGUGCUUUUGAUAGAGCCAUGUUGUAAAUCCAUAUUUAUUCACAUUAAUUAAGCUGCGCUAUUUGGCUAUCCUUUUUCUUUCUUUGUUCUUUUUGUAAAUGUGAGAUAAAGGGGCAAAAAUGUCAAAAGAAUCAAAGGAUGUCUGACAGGUAUGAGAAAAUUAAGAAAUGAGCACAUAAUGAAAUCAU
RNAcentral lists this long non-coding RNA (1262 nucleotides) under Nicotiana tabacum (common tobacco). Its description in RNAcentral is "long non-coding RNA (NTAB_LNC014260)". Lineage: Eukaryota; Viridiplantae; Streptophyta; Magnoliopsida; Solanales; Solanaceae. The record is from RNAcentral.